This 85-nucleotide transfer RNA is filed under the name Felis catus (domestic cat). It matches the Rfam family "tRNA". From Rfam's summary of the family: Transfer RNA (tRNA) molecules are approximately 80 nucleotides in length. Their secondary structure includes four short double-helical elements and three loops (D, anti-codon, and T loops). Further hydrogen bonds mediate the characteristic L-shaped molecular structure. tRNAs have two regions of fundamental functional importance: the anti-codon, which is responsible for specific mRNA codon recognition, and the 3' end, to which the tRNAs corresponding amino acid is attached (by aminoacyl-tRNA synthetases). tRNAs cope with the degeneracy of the genetic code in two manners: having more than one tRNA (with a specific anti-codon) for a particular amino acid; and 'wobble' base-pairing, i.e. permitting non-standard base-pairing at the 3rd anti-codon position. RNAcentral also lists the same sequence under 3 other names. The record is from Rfam by way of RNAcentral. Lineage: Eukaryota; Metazoa; Chordata; Mammalia; Carnivora; Felidae.
GUCUGGGUGGCUCAGUCAGCUGAGCGUCUGACUUCGGCUCAGGUCAUGAUCUCACUGCUUGUGGGUUCGAGCCCCGCAUCAGGCU